AAAUAUGUAAAUAUAUUUGUGUUUGGAUAGAGAGUUUAGAGCAUUCCCAUCCGGUUCCCUAAAUGUUUCCGUAACUUGUAGCUAAAAAGGACACUCCUUAUAAUUUUAUCUUAAAUUUUACUCAUCUUAAAAAAACCUUCUACAUCUCAUUCCCUCUCAUUUCUCUACUCUAUUAAAAUAUUAUUCUUCUAUUAUUUUUUUAUUACUUUUUUCUCUCAGUU
Molecule: long non-coding RNA, 221 nt
Organism: Juglans microcarpa x Juglans regia
Lineage: Eukaryota; Viridiplantae; Streptophyta; Magnoliopsida; Fagales; Juglandaceae
Exons: 4
Source: RefSeq, a predicted model, not a curated record